ACCACAGCAUGCCGGAUAUCAUAUUGUAUUCCCAUGUAUUCUUUGUCCGCCUCCUUGAGUAACUCCCACAACUCCCAUAAUGAAGAACCCGCCAGAUUGCCUGCAUGAUUCUGGUAGCAUCCUCUUAAACGCAGUUCCUUAUUCAGAAGGCUUAGCUCUUUCACUUUAUGCUGAAAAUGCUCCAUGGCUGCCGGCAUACUUUUUCCAU
Molecule: unclassified non-coding RNA, 208 nt
Filed under: uncultured bacterium
Lineage: Bacteria
Description: contains 16S-23S intergenic spacer region
Source: RNAcentral